Molecule: ribosomal RNA, 846 nt
Filed under: uncultured bacterium
Lineage: Bacteria
Description: bacterial SSU rRNA
Rfam family: Bacterial small subunit ribosomal RNA
Source: RNAcentral
GAUGAACGCUGGCGGCGUGCCUAAUACAUGCAAGUCGAACGGGGAGUAGUAAUACUUCUAGUGGCGAACGGGUGAGUAACGCGUGGGUGACCUGCCCCGAAGAGUGGGAUAACAGUUCGAAAGGACUGCUAAUACCGCAUGAGGUUCCCGGGUUUAGAAACCGGGAACGAAAGCAGCAAUGCGCUUCGGGGGGGGCCUGCGUCCCAUCAGCUAGUUGGUAAGGUAACGGCCUACCAAGGCGACGACGGGUAGGGGGCCUGAGAGGGUGAUCCCCCACACUGGCACUGAAACACGGGCCAGACACCUACGGGUGGCAGCAGUAGGGAAUAUUGCACAAUGGGCGCAAGCCUGAUGCAGCAACGCCGCGUGCGCGAUGAAGGCCUUCGGGUCGUAAAGCGCUUUUCUGGGAGACGAGGAAGGACGGUAUCCCAGGAAGAAGGCUCGGCUAACUACGUGCCAGCAGCCGCGGUAAAACGUAGGAGCCUAGCGUUAUCCGAAUUUACUGGGCGUAAAGCGCGUGCAGGCGGCUUGGUAAGUUGGCUGUGAAAUCUCCCGGCUCAACUGGGAGGGGACGGUCAAGACUGUCAAGCUAGAGGGCGGUAGAGGGAGGUGGAAUUCCCGGUGUAGUGGUGAAAUGCGUAGAGAUCGGGAGGAACACCCGUGGCGAAAGCGGCCUCCUGGGCCGCACCUGACGCUCAGACGCGAAAGCUAGGGGAGCGAACGGGAUUAGAAACCCCGGUAGUCCUAGCUGUAAACGAUGUAAACUUGGCGGCGGUGGGGUAAAAGCCAUCGGUGCCGAAGCCAACGCGGUAAGUCUACCGCCUGGGGACUACGGCCGCAAGGUUA